RNAcentral lists this ribosomal RNA (253 nucleotides) under uncultured bacterium. Its description in RNAcentral is "partial 16S ribosomal RNA". It matches the Rfam family "Bacterial small subunit ribosomal RNA", at positions 524 to 776 of the family's 1533-position model. The record is from RNAcentral.
AACGUAGGAGACAAACGUUAUCCGGAGUUACUGGGCGUAAAGGGCGUGCAGGUGGUAGUUUAAGUCUGGCGUGAAAGCCUCCGGCUCAACCGGGGAAAGUCGUCGGAGACUGGAAUACUAGAGGGCAGUAGAGGCGUGUGGAAUUCCGGGUGUAGUGGUGAAAUGCGUAGAGAUCCGGAGGAACACCAGUGGCGAAAGCGACACGCUGGGCCGUACCUGACGCUAAGACGCGACAGCAUGGGGAGCGAACGGG